AACUUGCUUCUAUGCGUUGCGGCGGACGGGUGAGUACACGUGGGCACCUGCCUGUAAGACUGGGAUAACUUCGGGAAACCGAAGCUAAUACCGGAUAGGAUCUUCUCCUUCAUGGGAGAUGAUUGAAAGAUGGUUUCGGCUAUCACUUACAGAUGGGCCCGCGGUGCAUUAGCUAGUUGGUGAGGUAACGGCUCACCAAGGCAACGAUGCAUAGCCGACCUGAGAGGGUGAUCGGCCACACUGGGACUGAGACACGGCCCAGACUCCUACGGGAGGCAGCAGUAGGGAAUCUUCCGCAAUGGACGAAAGUCUGACGGAGCAACGCCGCGUGAGUGAUGAAGGCUUUCGGGUCGUAAAACUCUGUUGUUAGGGAAGAACAAGUACGAGAGUAACUGCUNGUACCUUGACGGUACCUAACCAGAAAGCCACGGCUAACUACGUGCCAGC
This 447-nucleotide ribosomal RNA is filed under the name Bacillus sp. enrichment culture clone A3a. RNAcentral's name for it is "bacterial SSU rRNA". It matches the Rfam family "Bacterial small subunit ribosomal RNA", at positions 77 to 512 of the family's 1533-position model. Lineage: Bacteria; Bacillati; Bacillota; Bacilli; Caryophanales; Bacillaceae. The record is from RNAcentral.